UUUCCGUAGGUGAACCUGCGGAAGGAUCAUUAUUGUAUAACCGAGGUGCGAGGGCUGUCGCUGACCCGAAAGGUCGUGCACGCCCGAGUGCCCUCACACACAUCCAUCUCACCCCUAUGUGCACCACCGCGUGGGGUCCCCCUUUGGCUUGUUCGGAGGGGGGCUUACGUUUUCACACAAACUUUGUAUGCAGUGUAGAAUGUAUUUUUUGUUUUUGCGAUCACGCAAUCAAUACAACUUUCAACAACGGAUCUCUUGGCUCUC
This 264-nucleotide unclassified non-coding RNA is filed under the name plant metagenome. RNAcentral describes it as "partial contains small subunit ribosomal RNA, internal transcribed spacer 1, and 5.8S ribosomal RNA". The record is from RNAcentral.